UACGGAGGGUGCAAGCGUUAUCCGGAUUCACUGGGUUUAAAGGGUGCGUAGGCGGGUUGGUAAGUCCGUGGUGAAAUCUCCGAGCUUAACUCGGAAACUGCCGUGGAUACUAUCAAUCUUGAAUAUCGUGGAGGUAAGCGGAAUAUGUCAUGUAGCGGUGAAAUGCCUAGAUAUGACAUAGAACACCAAUUGCGUAGGCAGCUUACUACACGAUCAUUGACGCUGAGGCACGAAAGCGUGGGGAUCAAACAGG
RNAcentral lists this ribosomal RNA (253 nucleotides) under uncultured bacterium. RNAcentral's name for it is "partial 16S ribosomal RNA". It matches the Rfam family "Bacterial small subunit ribosomal RNA", at positions 524 to 776 of the family's 1533-position model. The record is from RNAcentral.